This 901-nucleotide long non-coding RNA is filed under the name Polistes fuscatus (common paper wasp). RNAcentral's name for it is "uncharacterized LOC122523084". The record is from RNAcentral. Lineage: Eukaryota; Metazoa; Arthropoda; Insecta; Hymenoptera; Vespidae.
ACACAGAGAACACACUGUUACACAUCCAAGCUACUUUUCUAUCCUAUGCAUCGUAUGAAUCAAGCGGUGAAACCGAGCCUUUCGAGAACCCGCCAGAUAUUUCCCUCGGAUCUGUGGCUACUGAUUUGCUAACCCUCUGCUUUUUUUCUCUCUCCUCCAUGGAAAAAAAGAGAGAGAGAGAGAGAGAUGGAGGACUCUCGAGUAUUUCGAAAAAUACGCUAGAAAACUCGUAUCGCGAUCAUAGUAAAUAUACUCUGCACAUAUCGAUCGUGGAAUAAUGUAUACAUCCAUUUUAAAAUGUGGAUACUUUAAACGUGACGACUUUAAGUUCUAUUAAUUGGUUACAAUUUUCGAAUAUAUUGCACAAUUAUUAUCGUUAUUUCUUUGCUAUAUUGGUCUUGAAAAAAUAUAAAAUGAGAGAAGAAAAAAAAAGUAAGAUCGUUCGAUACUAUCGCGAUUACUGUACAAUCACAAAUUUUAUUACUUAUCGGAAAGAAAGAAAGAGAGAGAAAAAGAGAAAGAGUUCUAUUAUUUAAGUUUUAUUACCCGCGGAAAGAAAGUCGAAAGAUUCAUAUACCAUCGAUACAUCUUCGAGUGUGUUAAACUCCGUAAAUCUCGAUAGUAGAAAUAACUUUUUUCUUUCUUUAUUUCUUUCGAAGAUGAAAAGCAUGAAAGUUCUCGAUAAACGAUUAGAACGUAAUUCCCGAGAAGGAUAUCGUUUGUACCGAAGAUGGAAAAUGAUAUCGUUUGAACCAAAGAUAGAGUUGGAUCGUGCGUCGAGACGGAUACGCCUCUAGAAAAACGAGAUAGAAAGAGUUCAAACUCGAUGUACACUUUUUGGUGGGUGGACACUUAAGCUGACUGUUAAAAAAAAAAAAAAAGAAAAAAGAAAAAGGAAAAA